RNAcentral lists this transfer RNA (71 nucleotides) under Sinosolenaia oleivora. Its description in RNAcentral is "tRNA-Ala". The record is from RNAcentral. Lineage: Eukaryota; Metazoa; Mollusca; Bivalvia; Unionida; Unionidae.
AGUUCUAUACUUUAGAAAAAGGCUUGAUUUGCAAUCAAUCAUCGAGUGACCCCAAACACUCUAGAACUACU